GACGAACGCUGGCGGCGUGCUUAACACAUGCAAGUCGAACGGAAAGGCCCUGCUUGCCGGGUACUCGAGUGGCGAACGGGUGAGUAGCACGUGGGUGAUCUGCCCUGCACUUCGGGAUAAGCCUGGGAAACUGGGUCUAAUACCGGAUAGGAGCCAUUUUUAGUGUGAUGGUUGGAAAGUUUUUUCGGUGUAGGAUGAGCUCGCGGCCUAUCAGCUUGUUGGUGGGGUAAUGGCCUACCAAGGCGGCGACGGGUAGCCGGCCUGAGAGGGUGGACGGCCACAUUGGGACUGAGAUACGGCCCAGACUCCUACGGGAGGCAGCAGUGGGGAAUAUUGCACAAUGGGCGCAAGCCUGAUGCAGCGACGCCGCGUGGGGGAUGACGGCCUUCGGGUUGUAAACGCCUUUCGCUAGGGACGAAGCUUUUUGUGACGGUACCUAGAUAAGAAGCACCGGCUAACUACGUG
RNAcentral lists this ribosomal RNA (465 nucleotides) under uncultured bacterium. RNAcentral's name for it is "partial 16S ribosomal RNA". It matches the Rfam family "Bacterial small subunit ribosomal RNA", at positions 28 to 507 of the family's 1533-position model. The record is from RNAcentral.